This 137-nucleotide unclassified non-coding RNA is filed under the name uncultured Ilyonectria. RNAcentral describes it as "sequence contains ITS1". The record is from RNAcentral. Lineage: Eukaryota; Fungi; Ascomycota; Sordariomycetes; Hypocreales; Nectriaceae.
CCGAGUUUACAACUCCCAAACCCCUGUGAACAUACCAUUAUCGUUGCCUCGGCGGUGCCCGCUUCGGCGGCCCGCCAGAGGACCCAAACCCUUGAUUUUUAUAACAGUAUCUUCUGAGUAAAUGAUUAAAUCAAUCA